CUCCAGAACAAAUUAAGUUCUUAACCCGAGGUGCCACUGUACUGAACGGACGGCCAAACAGGAAGUAGGAAGUGAAGCUGAAAAGUAGGUUUAAGAAUUAAAGGAGCAGCAGUGCUAUUUUUCUAGAAAAAGGUGCCAGAACUCACCAUGAAUGCCUCCUUCAUUCCCUUAGAAUAGCAAUGGCGUCCACCUGAGAGGUGUCAGAACUGAUUUCCAGAGAGUUCCGGCUGAAAAAAGGCCCUCGGGAGCAGUAUAAUUUCAGGCCUUACUGAGGACUUUCAAGCAGCCUUGGUUAGGAGUAGUUCCCUUGGAAUAAGGUUUGUCACCUGAAGAUGUUUGUUUAUAAUUACUUUCUCAGCAUAGAAAAUUGAUUCCAUAGCCAAUCCGAACUGAUCUUCCUUCCCCUUGUC
RNAcentral lists this long non-coding RNA (410 nucleotides) under Podarcis lilfordi (Lilford's wall lizard). The record is from RNAcentral. Lineage: Eukaryota; Metazoa; Chordata; Lepidosauria; Squamata; Lacertidae.